UACAGAGGGGGCAAGCGUUGUUCGGAAUUACUGGGCGUAAAGGGCUCGUAGGCGGCCAACUAAGUCGGAUGUGAAAUCCCCAGGCUUAACCUGGGAACUGCAUCCGAUACUGGAUGGCUUGAAUUCGGGAGAGGGAUGCAGAAUUCCAGGUGUAGCGGUGAAAUGCGUAGAUAUCUGGAGGAAUACCGGUGGCGAAGGCGGCAUCCUGGACCGACAUUGACGCUGAGGAGCGAAAGCUAGGGGAGCAAACGGG
This 253-nucleotide ribosomal RNA is filed under the name uncultured bacterium. RNAcentral's name for it is "partial 16S ribosomal RNA". It matches the Rfam family "Bacterial small subunit ribosomal RNA", at positions 524 to 776 of the family's 1533-position model. The record is from RNAcentral.